AACCAGCUGUUCAAGUGGUCGGGCCAAUUAUUGGGCUUAAAGUGUCCGUAGCCGGUUUGGCAAGUUCCUGGUGAAAGCUGGUAGCUUAACUAUCAGUAGGCUAGGAAUACUACCUGACUUGAGGGUGGGAAAGGUCUGAGGUACUCCGGGGGUAGCGGUGAAAUGCGAUAAUCCUUGGGUGACCACCAGUGGCGAAGGCGUCAGACUGGAACACGCCUGACGGUGAGGGACGAAAGCCAGGGGAGGGAACGGG
RNAcentral lists this ribosomal RNA (253 nucleotides) under uncultured archaeon. Its description in RNAcentral is "partial 16S ribosomal RNA". It matches the Rfam family "Archaeal small subunit ribosomal RNA", at positions 474 to 727 of the family's 1478-position model. The record is from RNAcentral.